Pecten maximus is the source of this 1345-nucleotide long non-coding RNA. RefSeq lists it as uncharacterized. The record is from RefSeq and is a predicted model, not a curated record. The transcript has 2 exons. NCBI's taxonomy places the organism in Eukaryota, Metazoa, Mollusca, Bivalvia, Pectinida, Pectinidae.
AUAAAGUUGUAUUUAUCUGUUAUAUAGGUAAAGAUAAUGAGCUUUUGGCAAUGUUUAGCUGCAGGUAUACAUCACAUAACUCGGUAAGAUGUAUGCCACAACUCGAGAACUUUGCAGGGGGUCUGCGCGUAGAUUCAUCAAAUUCCUUCUAACAUCACCAAUUUCUCGCAACAAGAGCCCCACUAGAGCAUGCCCGCAGUAUGACGGAGCGCUGGGAUGUGACUAGACUAGGGCGGUGUACAUCUUUAGGCAUGUAUCCCUGGCCGUCUAGUGGGGGAAGCCAACGAGCUGUUCUAUAUAUUGCAAGGUCCUGCGUGCUUAACAAGGCUACACCAAUCUCUUUGCCAAAUAUCUAUAUGCAUAUUGUCGGUGAGGUAGAGGGCUAACUGUAAUGCACACACCGGCGUAGUAACGAUGUACGUGUGUAUGUGUGUAUAAUGUACACAGGUAGGGCAUUGUCUCUGCAGAUUAGUACCUGAUGGUCACUGGGGGAAGUCGCCUGGAGAACAGGCUUACCACUACAGUACUAGGCUGGUUUGUUUAGUCUUUAGGAAGUAGUGAUCAUAAGGAUGGAUGUCACUUAAUGCACAGGAUAGAGGAUUGGGUUUCAAGGAAGCAGUUUAUGUUGCAGAACAUAACGGGAUAUAAAUAAUAGUGAUAUUAAAUACAGGACAAAUUACAGCUGAAGACAUCUAUUUCUCACUGAAAUUGUCUACCUUUGAUAUAUACCUUUGCCUGAUAUACAGUGUAGUAUUGAGGAUCUGUAAAUUGAACUACACUGAAACUCACUUGUGUCAAACGUGUGUCAAAUUUGCUCAAAAUGAGUCAGCUGAUGUAAAGUUUCACUUAAUCCCAAUAUUUGUCCUCAUUAUAACAGUAAAUUAAGAAUGGUGUCUCAAAAACUGUUAACUUAAAUACAACAAGUGUCCAGUACAUUUCUCAAUCAAAUACAAAACUUACAACAAAUGUUACACACUUCCACCUAAUUUCAGGUGAAUUUGUUUUGCUCUAGUCGAAUGGUUAGUUCCUGAAUCCAUUGCUGUAAAUUUCUGUGACAACUGAUUGACUAUUUUUGUUUAUACAUGCCACAAAAUUUAAUGUCAAGAUAAGGCUGAAAUUGUUUAUGACCUCAGAAUAACAUUUCACUGAUGUUUGUAAUUAAAGGACAAAGAAAACAAUAGCACUGAUACACCAGCAAAUGAUUGUUUACCAUAUGUUUAAAGUCAAUGAUCCAGGUAAGACUAUUGAUUUCGGAAUGAAUGUAUGCCAUUCAUUGGCAUUCACAAUUAUAGAAUUAAAUUUUGUUGAUAAUUUGGUAUUUAAUUCAAUAAAUUUCUCAAACUGA